This 23-nucleotide non-coding RNA is filed under the name Arabidopsis thaliana (thale cress). Lineage: Eukaryota; Viridiplantae; Streptophyta; Magnoliopsida; Brassicales; Brassicaceae. The record is from RNAcentral.
AUAAAUCCUGGAGUUGGGACUUA